CCUGACAAGAGUUCUGCAGCGGUCAAUAAUUAUUAACCAGCAUUUAGUGGGGCAAUCCCCAAUACUGUUGCUGAGUGAUAAAGAGUGCUUGCCUGCUGCA
Molecule: long non-coding RNA, 100 nt
Organism: Sinocyclocheilus grahami
Lineage: Eukaryota; Metazoa; Chordata; Actinopteri; Cypriniformes; Cyprinidae
Exons: 3
Source: RefSeq, a predicted model, not a curated record